RNAcentral lists this non-coding RNA (29 nucleotides) under Bombyx mori (domestic silkworm). Lineage: Eukaryota; Metazoa; Arthropoda; Insecta; Lepidoptera; Bombycidae. The record is from RNAcentral.
UAAGAUGGAAAUGAGCCUCGUCAGAGAAC